Molecule: unclassified non-coding RNA, 224 nt
Filed under: fungal sp.
Lineage: Eukaryota; Fungi
Description: partial internal transcribed spacer region
Rfam family: Eukaryotic small subunit ribosomal RNA (bases 1-46)
Source: RNAcentral
AAGUCGUAACAAGGUUUCCGUAGGUGAACCUGCGGAAGGAUCAUUACAAAAGUUCAACGCUAUGGGACUAGCUCCCUAGCGGAAUAAACUUUCAACCACUUGUGAAUUUGUAAAACAUUUUCUUACCAAUUGACUGUUAACGAAGUCUGAAUCAAUUAUUUUUGGUGUUUAAAGACACUAAUUUAACAUUGAAACAACUUUUGGCAACGGAUCUCUUGGCUCUC